This 1789-nucleotide long non-coding RNA is filed under the name Panax ginseng (ginseng). RNAcentral describes it as "long non-coding RNA (PGIN_LNC016592)". The record is from RNAcentral. Lineage: Eukaryota; Viridiplantae; Streptophyta; Magnoliopsida; Apiales; Araliaceae.
GGGGGAACAGGAACAGGAAGGGCAGGAGCGGUGGUGGGACAGCCGGCGGUGUUCCGGUCGUCGCAUCUGACCCCGAUAGGGAGGCCGGUCCAAGUGGAACAGGGGGCGGGGGCUGUAGGGGGCAACCGGCGGUACUCCGGUCGUCUUCCGACUUCUUCUCCGACUGUGACAAUAUCAACUAAUUCCCACCGGCUGUAAGUUACUCUUCUUCCUUCUUUCUCUUUCACUAUAUCCCAAUUUCAUAUAAAUCUAUUAAGAUGAUUGGGAAGAAUAUCAAAAAUUUCAAUUCAGUAAGUUCAUUUCUCUCUCUGUCUUUGCCUUUGUGUGUGAAAAGAUAUCUCUUUUAGUGUUUCCCCUAAUUAACUUGUUGUUUAUUCUUACUUUUCCUUCACAGAUAGAAUCUUACUAACUUAAUUGUUUAACACUGCUGAGUAUUACUUUUAUGGUAUAAAUCAGUUAGCUUUUGAUUGAAUUAGUGACAUGGAGUACAGUUGUUAGUGUGCGGAGUAAUAAAGAUGGCGAAUUCGGGUUGGAACACAAAGAAAUGGAUAAGAAAUCUGAUUGUUAAAGUGGCGCACAUAACAUGUUCGCUAAAAGGACUGUUUUUGCUAAAAACUAGGAAUUAAGCAAAGUCAACGUCCUAAAUUCCGCUACAAAAUCGUUCUGGUUCCGCCACUGUUUAGACUCAACUAGCUUGUAUGCCAAAUUCAUUCCUCAUCUUGAAUAUCACAAUAAUUUGGUACUACUAUACUAGUAAUUAUUACAAUAUUUACUAACUACGUGCACAUGUAUAAUUUUUUUUAAUAUUUAAGGGACGGAGGGAGUAUUCCACAGGGCUGCUGGAGUGUUAGAUUUGAACUGGAUCAUGUAUAUUCUCUGGUCUAUAUCCUAAUUCCACUUUUUGUUGGCAGGAUGGUUACAAAAUGUAUGUACUGAAAAAUGAAAUGAAAGGGGAAAAGAACGAGGAAAUAUUAUAACUAGCAUGUAAGGUUCAAGGAGAAUUCUACCACUACCACAACUCUUAUAACACUUUUCACCUCUGUCUAGCAGGAAAGUGAUGAUUCCUGCGGAUAUCAAAAUAAUGGCAGGGGAAAGGCCUUUCUUUACUGAAAUCGAGUUUUUUCCCCCAUCAAAUAAUAUGAUAAUGAUCAACGUUUCCUUGGAGGUGUUCAAGCCUCAAGCCUACAAAUACACCAAAUAAAGAGGGAGAAACAAAUAUAGAGAACAAGAAAGCAAGGAGAAUGACAAAAAUGGAUAUUUAGACAUAUGCCUAAAGCACAGUAUGCGUAGGUACCUGACAUAUACAUGUAUUAAAAUCAUUGUAAGCACCACAACUAUGUCUCAGUUUACUUUCUCUUGAAACCUCAUACCAAAGAUGGACAAUGUUAUGGAUGCUUUCAGCAUGUUUCUUGUAGAUCGAAGAAUAAUUUGAAGCAUUUGAUAUUCAUAAAAAAUACAAAAAGAAAGCAUCAAGGUGUGUGGAAGUAUAAAGAAUACACUGAGAGUGAAAAUAUUUAAGUAGACAUACUAUUAUAUAGAUAUUCUCUGCAGACAAAAAUGCUUCAGCUCAUGGCAUACAUACUACACAAAGUCGUGUUAACUAGUUGUCAGCACCUCAAUUUUUUGAUUAGGAUAAUCUUCUCUCUGUAUUAAUGACGGAACAGGUGGCUUCAUAAUCUCAUCUCUUUCCAACCCGGGAAGUUCUCUAUCUACAUUGGAAUGAUCUUUCGAAAAUCUGCUAGGACCUGGCAGGUUAUCCGUCCCAAGCAUGGACAGUCUGGGGCUGUUU